GGAUGGCGGAACUGGCAGACGCGCCGGACUUAGGAUCCGGUCCCGCAAGGGAUGGGGGUUCAACUCCCCCUCCUCGCA
RNAcentral lists this transfer RNA (78 nucleotides) under Caldifarciminota bacterium. RNAcentral describes it as "tRNA-Leu". It matches the Rfam family "tRNA". Rfam says of the family: Transfer RNA (tRNA) molecules are approximately 80 nucleotides in length. Lineage: Bacteria; Pseudomonadati; Caldifarciminota. The record is from RNAcentral.